Molecule: ribosomal RNA, 710 nt
Filed under: Trichoderma longibrachiatum
Lineage: Eukaryota; Fungi; Ascomycota; Sordariomycetes; Hypocreales; Hypocreaceae
Description: eukaryotic LSU rRNA
Rfam family: 5.8S ribosomal RNA (bases 227-380)
Source: RNAcentral
GGGCUCAACAUUCGGCUCCAACCCCAAUGUGAACGUUACCAAUCUGUUGCCUCGGCGGGAUUCUCUUGCCCCGGGCGCGUCGCAGCCCCGGAUCCCAUGGCGCCCGCCGGAGGACCAACUCCAAACUCUUUUUUUCUCUCCGUCGCGGCUCCCGUCGCGGCUCUGUUUUAUUUUUGCUCUGAGCCUUUCUCGGCGACCCUAGCGGGCGUCUCGAAAAAUGAAUCAAAACUUUCAACAACGGAUCUCUUGGUUCUGGCAUCGAUGAAGAACGCAGCGAAAUGCGAUAAGUAAUGUGAAUUGCAGAAUUCAGUGAAUCAUCGAAUCUUUGAACGCACAUUGCGCCCGCCAGUAUUCUGGCGGGCAUGCCUGUCCGAGCGUCAUUUCAACCCUCAAACCCUCCGGGGGGUCAGCGUUGCGCAACAGGAUUUCAGAUGGCGAGAAAGAAAUAAAUAGGAGGUGGUCCAUUCGCCUGCGCUCUGCGGAUUUGGGCACCGACGCGCCCGGAGCAGGAGAAUCCCGCCCAGGCAAACAAUUGGUAACGUUCACAUUGGGGUUUGGGAGAUGAAACUCUCUAAUGAACCUCCGCAGUCUCCUAGCGGAGAAAUUUUCGAGUUCAUGCGCAUCCUGUCAUUAGGUAUGGGUUGUGCAAGGAGGGACAAUUAUUCGGAGUUUGUAAAGGUUAUAAGCAUAUAGUAUAAUACAUAUAUUUU